Molecule: ribosomal RNA, 566 nt
Filed under: Triticum aestivum (bread wheat)
Lineage: Eukaryota; Viridiplantae; Streptophyta; Magnoliopsida; Poales; Poaceae
Description: partial small subunit ribosomal RNA
Source: RNAcentral
CCCCGUGCACCUUAGGGCACACUUAGUCGUUCCUGGUGGAACGUUCCGAUUUAUGAGGACCCACUGGCUAUCGCUUCAUCAUGGCACUCCCUUUCCACUUUUCUUGGGGGUCACCCAUCACUUUAUCUUGCACUUUGGCACGACUCGAGGGUUCGUCACCCUCCCCUUUCACUAGAGACUGGCGCACGGACAACUUCUUACUCGGCCGCUGAGUAUCCGUCACCGAACCAAUUCCCUUGCCUUGGGUGGCCUCGGCAUCGCUUUCGCUCAGAAUUAUCCCGCGAACAGUGACGAAUACCUGGGCUUGGACCCACUAGAUAGGUACUGGUCCUACUUCGAACCUACUUUGAUUCGUCUCCAGGCUUGGCUGACUACAACUUCUUAGUCGCCUACUCAACACCAAUCCCCACUUUACGGUGAGCUUGGGUCUCGAUCGACCAAGAGGGGCUUUACGCAACUCCGCGUCGUCAACUGACCUGUAGAUCCCCAUUUCGUGACAAAGCCACGCCCGACGCGCUCGCCAUGGUUUAGCUCCGUUUGAGACUUAUGAUCUAUACUGGGUUUAC